This 3057-nucleotide long non-coding RNA is filed under the name Brassica napus (rape). RNAcentral describes it as "long non-coding RNA (BNAP_LNC010463)". The record is from RNAcentral. Lineage: Eukaryota; Viridiplantae; Streptophyta; Magnoliopsida; Brassicales; Brassicaceae.
UCAGUUUCUUGACACCAGGCCAUAUAACUCUUUGGGCCUGAUUCGCUCCAGGCCCAACAUUCAAAUGCUCGGCAUAGUACAACGUCUUGAGCGCGAAGUCACCGUUCCACGGAAGCCAUCCCGCCCGAUCAAUUACGUCAUCGAUCGUUGUCUUCAUGACGAUCGUCCUCGAGAACUCCUUCCACGGUCUCCCUAGAUACGCCUUGCUCGCGGUUUUCACCGGAAUAUACGCCGGAUCUCCCACUAUAUGGCAGUUAUGGAGCACUAUUCCCGUCGGUUCACGGACGUCGCUGCGUCCCUGAGCGGUGACCAUACACGACUGACCUGCCAUAGGUUUGCGCAAGACGAUUUUGCAGUUUUGGAGGAUGCAUUGCGAGUCGCCGAAGAUGAAGUCCACGGUGCCGGAGACUGUGCAGUCACGGUAGAAUUGCCGUUGAGAGUGAACGUAUAAGGUGUCUUGGUAACCGUCGAUUUGACAGUCGAAGAACACGGCGUAGUCCCCCGAGACUCUUAAGGCUACCGCUUGGCCUCCCUCUGGUCCAGCCGUGUUCUCCAUCCCGAUGCCCUUAGCUGUGAAGUGUUCACCCUCUACAGCUGCACAUAUAAGAAAGGUCGGUCAUGUUUAGACGCGGAGUUGACUUAAUGGAUAAAACUCUUAGAUUAUGUCUAAACAGUCAUAAGUUCGAAUAGGCAUGUGGGUUCGGUUAGUUAGGGCUAUUCUGUUCAGGUAGUUCAGUUCAACAUAAAUCUUACUGAGUUAACUUGAAAUAAAGUUUGGUUCCAUAUAAUAUUCGGUUAUUUCAGCUUUUGCAAAUCCUACUAAAGUUUUUGAUUUCGAUUAAACUUUUGUUUAAUUUUGUUAAAAAAUCGAAUUUAUUCGGUUAGUUUGGUUCCAAAUCUGGUUACUUCGGUUAGUUUAGUUUGUAUGGUUUGGUAUAUAUAUUUUAAAGAAAACCAAAGUAACCGAUGCCAAGUUAAACCGAAAACUGAUUUUUUUUAGAAAACCUACGGAAUCGAACUAACCGAAAUUUCGGUUCAGUUAGGCUGGUUCGGUUCAUAAUCUCAGGCUAAGUUCGAGAGUCCGGUUGGAAAAUGUCUGCUCAUAUAGGAUGAUGUAGGGAACUUCGGACCAUAAUUUACUUGUCAUUAGAAUAGACAAAUUUCGAAUCUUACUUAGGGGAGCUGUUAGGUAAGUCUUGACUUUUCCAAUACCAAAGUUAAGACUGCCGGAGAUAACGGUCUUGGUUGGUCCAUCACCGAUGAAAGUGACGUACGGCAUCUUCCUAGUGACCACAACUUUCUCCUUGUAGACACCUUCUUUGAUGUGGAUGACGAACGGCACUUUGUUCUCUUUAGGCACAGCGUUUAGAGCAUCGUUGAUAGUCUUGAACUGUCCACUUCCGUCUUGAGCCACCACAGCAUUAGCCUUCACUGGUGGUCCUCCCGGUGCUCCCAUGAGCCUCCUCGCCUCUAGUCCAACCCACGUUGGCACACCAUCUUCUUGAUCAGUAGAUAAAAGCUUUCUAGCGUUGUUUUCAAGAGCUCCGGUUAGUUCCGUGGCGUUGGAGUUGAGGUCAGUCACCAUUGCAAGACUAUUACUGCUUAGCUGUCUUGAUCUUUUAAAAAUGUUGAUCAUAUCGUGCUUAAGAGUAGAUUUAAUCUCCUCAAAAGUAUCAAUACAAGUCUGCUGGAACGCGAUGGAGCCACUUAUCCAAACCCUAAGAUCAUCGAUAAACCUUUCAAUCUCAUCGACGGAGACCUUAUGAUCACCACACUUUUUCAAAUCAGCAAUAGCGUCGUUCAUUACCUUCUCGCAAAGCUCAAAAGCGUCUUUAGCUUCAGGGUGUUUGUCAGCUUUGUGUUUAACGUCUUCAGAGGCUUUCUUGAGACCUUCUUGAAUGGAUUUGAUGGUGACGUUGAAGCUGAGUUUGAUUAGGGCGAGUGGCUCGGUGGAUUUGGGAGACGCGUCCAUUAAGCUUUUGAGGCAAGUCUCUUUGUAGUCAGUGGGUGCACAAACUGUUUUAACGGCUUUAGUGUUUUGCCUGAUCUCGUUUUCGUUGGGUGAGUUUUUGGAUGCUAUGAUGGCUACAGAGACAACCAUGAUGACUAGCAAACCCGAGACAACACCCGCUAUGAUGCAUUUCUUCUUCUUGUCACCAUCAAGCGCCAUCUUUUAUACAAAACUUAAAAGGUCCAAAGAGGUAAAAUUUUCAAGAUUUUUUUUUUCUAAUGCGUUUUAUUUUUUAAAUGUUGGAAGUGGAGCAGAGGGGGCCUUCCAAGUGUGGCUAUAAGGCCCCUUCUAGCUCUGGUUUUAAUUUAUUUUUGGUGAGUGAUUUUUUUUUUUUUUUGUAACCAAAGCUUUUUAUCAAAGUUUCAAUGCAUUUGACAGAUAAAAUCGUGUUGAAGUUUUACCUGUAUCGCAGACGAGAAUCAACGCUUCAUUGUAGUUGUCUUGUUUGACGAACCUUCGUCUCUUGCUCCGUCCAUCUGGAGAAACAAACACAGACACAAAUCAUAAGGCUGGAAUGAACACAAUAAACUAAGAAACAAACACAUGCAUAGCUUUACCUUUCUUUGAUUUCGAAGAGGAGAGCUCCAGCCGCGAGAGAGGUUUGAAGUGAUUCUUCGUUGCGGUGAGCCGUUGAGAGAGAGAUGUAGCCUUUUCAUCCUCGAGGAGAUCGACACCGCGAGACGCCAACAGAUUCAAGGAGAUCGACACCGCGAGACACCGGGAGACGAACCGCUUUCAUCAACGAUUGAGAUCACCGUCGAUUGAUCACGGAGGCGUCGAGGGGAGAUCGGUUUCCUCGAGAGAGAUGGGUUCGGCGGAGUCGUCGAGAGAGAAUCAGAAGAGACUUGUGUCUCGCGAGAGAGAGGGGGAGAGAGAGAGAGAGAGAGAGAAAAGGACAUCAAUUACGUCAUCGAUCGUUGUCUUCAUGACGAUCGUCCUCGAGAACUCCUUCCACGGUCUCCCUAGAUACGCCUUGCUCGCGGUUUUCACCGGAAUAUACGCCGGAUCUCCCACUAUAUGGCAGUUAUGGAGCACUAUUCCCGUCG